This 73-nucleotide transfer RNA is filed under the name Candidatus Azambacteria bacterium RIFOXYA1_FULL_42_37. RNAcentral describes it as "tRNA-Thr". It matches the Rfam family "tRNA". From Rfam's summary of the family: Transfer RNA (tRNA) molecules are approximately 80 nucleotides in length. Their secondary structure includes four short double-helical elements and three loops (D, anti-codon, and T loops). RNAcentral also lists the same sequence under 6 other names. Lineage: Bacteria; Candidatus Azamiibacteriota. The record is from RNAcentral.
GCCAGCGUAGCUCAGUCGGCAGAGCACAUCCAUGGUAAGGAUGGGGUCAUCGGUUCGAUUCCGAUCGCUGGCU